Molecule: long non-coding RNA, 993 nt
Organism: Zeugodacus cucurbitae (melon fly)
Lineage: Eukaryota; Metazoa; Arthropoda; Insecta; Diptera; Tephritidae
Exons: 2
Source: RefSeq, a predicted model, not a curated record
CAUUUCACAGCAAAGCAUACACUAGAUGAUGAUAAGUAAGAAGAUAGUUGAAAAUAAAAAUGUUUUGAGUCCAUUUUGGUAUAAAUUUCCCGUUGCAUUGCUGCACUGUUUGCUCAACUUCUCCUUCUUCUAGUCCCGCAAUUGAUUUAGAAAGCAUUGACUCUUCUACCAGCAUUAACAUUGUGCGGAUGCACCGGCUGAUUGUUAAACCAAGCGCGUAUUGUGAAGUAAAAAUUUGCCGAUAAAACGAGUAUAAUAACGAUUAUCAAACCAAUCAAGAAGUGAACACUUGCAGACUACUUUUUUCUUAUUAGCCGUAAAUUGAGUGCGUGUGCGUUGCCAGACUAUACAGCGACUGAAAUAAAAAUUUACGAAAUUCUCUUUUUCCGCUAAAAAGUGUGGCAAAACUGUCACUUUUAGUUUACCGCUAUGCGAAAACAACAGUGCAAGAGCAAAAACAGGAAUGUGGAUGAUUGCAAAAUGGCAGUCGAAAACAUAAACUGUAUAUACAAAAGAUUAUCUGAGACGGAAAAGUUUGCCAUGGAAAUGUACGGCCUAAUGGCCGUGUGGGGACUUUGGGUGAUCCUUUUCAUGUUUGUCUUUACGAUAGUUGUCUGUUUGUUCUUAUACGUACCAUUGUGGUUCUACAAACAGUUCGUGGGAAUGACGAACACCACCGAAGCGCUUGUGCAAAGAGACGACAUACUGUAAAAUUAACUGUUGAUCGUGGGUCUACCAUUUGCAGAGAAAACGAGAAAGUGGAAAGAGAUCUGCGCAAAUUUUUACUAUUAAUUAUGUUUUUAUUUUACAUGAAAGGGUGCAUUUUACGCUUAUUUGUAGUUUUAGUGAGAUUUUUGUACUUUUUUAAUCAAAAAAGUGUUUUGUUUGACCCCGAUAAUCUAAGUUUUGUGAAAAUUGUGUUUAACUAUCUAAUUUAUAUAAAUUAAAAAUCAAAUAUUAAUUAAUAAAAAAUAUUUUUUCCUAACCAAAAUA